This 730-nucleotide ribosomal RNA is filed under the name uncultured bacterium. RNAcentral's name for it is "bacterial SSU rRNA". It matches the Rfam family "Bacterial small subunit ribosomal RNA", at positions 1 to 711 of the family's 1533-position model. The record is from RNAcentral.
AAGGGGUUUGAUCAUGGCUCAGAACGAACGCUGGCGGAGUGCCUCAUACAUGCAAGUCGUACGCGAAAGUCGCCUUCGGGUGGCGAGUAGAGUGGCGCACGGGUGAGUAACGCGUGGGUAAUCUACCUUCAGGUCUGGGACAACUCCGGGAAACUGGAGCUAAUACCGGAUAAGACCACGGAGACCUCGGUCUCCGCGGCCAAAGAUGGCCUCUUCUUGAAAGCUAUCGCCUGCUGAUGAGCCCGCGUCCCAUUAGCUUGUUGGUGAGGUAACGGCUCACCAAGGCACCGAUGGGUAGCUGGUCUGAGAGGACGAUCAGCCACACUGGAAUUGAGACACGGUCCAGACUCCUACGGGAGGCAGCAGUAGGGAAUCUUGGUCAAUGGGCGAAAGCCUGAACCAGCAACUCCGCGUGAGGGAUGAAGGCCCUCGGGUCGUAAACCUCUGUCGGGAGGGAAGAAAGUUCCGAGACGAAUAAUCUCGGAAUCUGACGGUACCUCCAAAGGAAGCGCCGGCUAACUCCGUGCCAGCAGCCGCGGUAAUACGGAGGGCGCAAGCGUUGUUCGGAAUCAUUGGGCGUAAAGCGGGUGUAGGCGGCUUGGCAAGUCGGGUGUGAAAUCCCUGGGCUCAACCCAGGAACUGCACUCGAAACUGCUUCGCUAGAGUCUCGGAGAGGGUGGCGGAAUUCCCGGUGUAGAGGUGAAUUCGUAGAUAUUCGGGAGGAACACCA